AGAGUUUGAUUAUGGCUCAGGAUGAACGCUAGCUACAGGCUUAACACAUGCAAGUCGAGGGGCAGCAUUGGAGUAGCAAUACUCAGAUGGCGACCGGCGCACGGGUGAGUAACACGUAUCCAACCUGCCGCUUACUCGGGGAUAGCCUUUCGAAAGAAAGAUUAAUACCCGAUGGUAUAAAGAGUUCGCAUGUUCUCUUUAUUAAAGAAUUUCGGUAAGCGAUGGGGAUGCGUUCCAUUAGAUAGUUGGCGGGGUAACGGCCCACCGAGUCUACGAUGGAUAGGGGUUCUGAGAGGAAGGUCCCCCACAUUGGAACUGAGACACGGUCCAAACUCCUACGGGAGGCAGCAGUGAGGAAUAUUGGUCAAUGGACGAGAGUCUGAACCAGCCAAAGUAGCGUGAAGGAUGACUGCCCUAUGGGUUGUAAACUUCUUUUAUAAGGGAAUAAAGUGAGGGACGUGUCCCUUUUUGUAUGUACCUUAUGAAUAAGGAUCGGCUAACUCCGUGCCAGCCGCCGC
RNAcentral lists this ribosomal RNA (518 nucleotides) under uncultured bacterium. RNAcentral's name for it is "bacterial SSU rRNA". It matches the Rfam family "Bacterial small subunit ribosomal RNA", at positions 8 to 518 of the family's 1533-position model. The record is from RNAcentral.